Molecule: unclassified non-coding RNA, 332 nt
Filed under: soil metagenome
Description: partial contains 5.8S ribosomal RNA, internal transcribed spacer 2, and large subunit ribosomal RNA
Rfam family: 5.8S ribosomal RNA (bases 1-121)
Source: RNAcentral
GAUGAAGAACGCAGCGAAAUGCGAUAAGUAAUGCGAAUUGCAGAAUUUCCGUGAGUCAUCGAAUCUUUGAACGCACAUUGCGCCCCCUGGUAUUCCGGGGGGCAUGCCUGUUCGAGCGUCAUUUCACCACUCAAGCCUCGCUUGGUAUUGGGCAUCGCGGUCCGCCGCGUGCCUCAAAUCGACCGGCUGGGUCUUCUGUCCCCUAAGCGUUGUGGAAACUAUUCGCUAAAGGGUGUUCGGGAGGCUACGCCGUAAAACAACCCCAUUUCUAAGGUUGACCUCGGAUCAGGUAGGGAUACCCGCUGAACUUAAGCAUAUCAAUAAGCGGAGGA